Molecule: ribosomal RNA, 428 nt
Filed under: uncultured prokaryote
Description: bacterial SSU rRNA
Rfam family: Bacterial small subunit ribosomal RNA
Source: RNAcentral
UGGGGAAUAUUGGGCAAUGGGCGCAAGCCUGACCCAGCGACGCCGCGUGGGCGAUGAAGGCCUUCGGGUUGUAAAGCCCUGUCAUGUGGAAAGAACAGUUCUGCGGUUAAUAUCCGCGGAAUUUGACGGUACCACAGGAGGAAGCACCGGCUAACUCCGUGCCAGCAGCCGCGGUAAUACGGAGGGUGCAAGCGUUGUUCGGAAUUAUUGGGCGUAAAGGGCGCGUAGGGGGUUGUGAAAGUCAGAUGUGAAAUACUGCGGCUCAACUGAGGAACUGCAUCUGAAACUUCAUAACUCGAGUACAGGAGAGGGAAACGGAAUUCCCGGUGUAGAGGUGAAAUUCGUAGAUAUCGGGAGGAACACCAGUGGCGAAGGCGGUUUCCUGGCCUGAUACUGACGCUGAGGCGCGAAAGUGUGGGGAGCAAACA